UUUUCUCCUAUUCAUCAAUAGGAGAAAAGUUGCUGGGAAGAUGACUGGAGCUAAUCACUGGGCAGUCACGUUGGAGACGGCAGAAGACUUGAGCAUGAGGCAGAGGCUUGGUUUCCAGCAGGGCAGCAACCAUGGACAUACCCAGGACUCCACCGGAACGAUGAACAUCAAAGAAUCAAAGAAUUAGAAUUAUUCCACCAAUCUCAGAAUACUGCGCUGCCAAAGCAAAUUUGAAGAUGUAUGUUUUUCUUCCUCUAUUAUGUAGUACAGUACUUGGUCUACAAUAUAAAUGUCCAAUGGAGUACAUUAGAUUUAUAAGGAACUCUGCACAUUGCCAGCUUGUAAAGGGUUUUUCCUUUUUUUUUUUUACAUAAUAUUUCAAUGCCUGAUUAAUAGCAGGAUAUUACAGACAUGAAAUUUGCGAACUAUGACGUGAAGCAGCAAAUGUUACACGUUUUCAAGAUCCGAGUGCAUAGGCUACACAAAAAUAAAAAAAUAAAAUAAAAUAAAACGAAAGCUUCAAACCAAAACAUGCACUGAUCAUGAUAAUAAGAUAGUCUGCUAUUACAUAAUGCUUACACGGGUUAAUGAAUGAAUGACACUUGACCGAAAAGGAAUUACAAUGCAUUACUAAUUUUAUAGUGCAGCGUGGGACUCCGCAGCAGCGCCUGUAUCCUCUACGAGUGUGAUUUAUGAAGGUUUUUGGCUCACGUUCAGCACUCGGUUCAUCAGCAAAGCGCCUGCAGCUUGCUCAGAGUAAGACAGGAGCCCGUAACAUGAGCCGAUGACAGUCUCAGAGGCACUCAAAACUCAUUUCUCUCGCAGAUCAAAUCGUGAUGUCAGCAGAGACUGUUGUACUCGGAGGAUGAACCUUAUGCAUGUGGUUGUAAAGUUCUCUCCUAGUGAGGACGGAAGUUCAGUCACAUGCGCGUUGUCGAGUUGGAGAGCUGCGUAAUGGAGAUCGUGGGAACGGACAGUAAUUUCCUGAACUGCGUACGGGAAAUGUCAUGAGGACAUUUUUUUUUAUUAUUUUAUUUUCUUUUUUUUUUCUUUCUACUCUCUGAGGCCACCCAGGUUCAUCAUCUGAGCAGCAAUGAAGAGGCGCCCAGCAGGGUCCGUUUCCAGCUUUAGCACGCAGAGACUAUGAAUGAGGAAUGACCAAUGCAUCUUCUUUGCAUCAAUCUCCUAGUUCUUGUGCUUCUACCGUCGUCACUCUCCUGUGAGGGUAAAGCUGAACCGGCUGCAGUUCGAAACCAUUUCAUUGCAUUUGUGAAAACGGACAUGGACAAUAUUAGAGACGAGCUGCAAAACCUACCCUGCCGAGAACGGAAAUACAAAAUAGCAAACUGCACAACAGAGAACGCUGAUAUUGUGGAAACCUUGCUCCGUCAAGCCUGUGAAAUGCAGAGGCUAAACCUUCAGAACAUGACAAAGCUGGCCGAUACUGUCCAAACUUCGAUACGAUGCACUUGUCCUGCAAACGUGACAAAAGACCCCAGUGUGAGGUCACAGCGACGGAGGAUUCCAAGAAACACGGGGAAGAAGAUGAAAAAACGUUGCAAAGCUAAAGCAAUUCUGUCUUCCAUGACUGUAUGCUACCAGAGGCUGGACAUUCAGCAAACAGAUGCUCGAAACUAAGCUGAAGCACAGCAUGAAACCAAACAGGGAAAAAAAAACCAGCAACAAAAAAAAAACCAAUGUGCUGCCAGUUUGUCUGAACUGUGCUGUCGUUUCGGAUUAUGCAAGAAGACGCUUCCAGUUAAUUCAAGCUUUCCUGUAAAGUAUAUUUGUCUUGCGGCUGCUUUAGGUGUUGGACAACUGCUGACUCUUGAGAUCAGUUUCCAAGCUACACAGAAACAAGUCAUUUAGCAGAAGGAAGCAGACUGGACUCUCCCACGCUACAUGGAUGAGCUGUGUGCUGUACAGAUCUACUGCUACAAAGAGGAAUUCACUUAAGACAAAAACUAAAGGCCUUCAGAAUGCAUAUAGCUAGUGUUUGAAGGGGCGAUUAGUGAAGAAUCUACUUCCAGAGACUAAGUUAAAUAUAUAUACAUGUAUAUAUUUGUGUAAAAAAAAAGAAAUGCUCUGGUUUUUACUCGUUCUCAGAAAUGGCUCCUGAAGUACAAACUGGAAAUGUUAUGGUGCUCAAAUGCAGUUUUGCUUUCACUUCGGAAAAAGAAUGACCCGACUAGUCCAGACAUAUUUUUGUUAUCUUGGUUAUCUGAAGCCGGUUGUUUUAGGCUGUGUGUCAAGUCAUCAUUGCCGUCUUUGGUGACAAUGUAUUCAUUAGUCGCUCGGAAUGAUUGAUAUAUUAAAAGCAUAUUCUGACACAGAUGGCUGAGCUCGGUUCACAGGCCUCAUUACUUAUGUGGGAGACAUCGAAGAUGCCUUUCCCACCGCUUUUGGUCGAUGUUGUGAUUAAAGAUACUUUUAUCAUACAAAAAAAAAAAAGAAAAAGAGCCAGCUAUGCUCAACGACCAGACUUGUAACAAAAAAAAAAAAGUUGAAACACGCAGCCUUUGUUCCUUCUCUCUCCUACUUUCAGUGCUGCUGAUUUCGGCCUUGUGCUUAAAAGGCCUGUUUUUAAGCAAGUGAAGUAUAUGUGUUAUGUAUGACAUUGCAUGGGUUUCCCCAUCUAUAUUUAUAAUUAAAGAAAUUACUUUGCA
This is a non-coding RNA of Poecilia reticulata (guppy), 2666 nucleotides long. The record is from RefSeq and is a predicted model, not a curated record. Lineage: Eukaryota; Metazoa; Chordata; Actinopteri; Cyprinodontiformes; Poeciliidae.